This is a long non-coding RNA of Ipomoea nil (Japanese morning glory), 377 nucleotides long. RefSeq lists it as uncharacterized. The record is from RefSeq and is a predicted model, not a curated record. The transcript is spliced from 3 exons. Lineage: Eukaryota; Viridiplantae; Streptophyta; Magnoliopsida; Solanales; Convolvulaceae.
CUCUACUCCGCUGCCGUUCCUCCACCUCCGCCUGCCAUUCCUCCAUCUCCACAACGUAAAUCUAUUGUCCACAACAGGAAGUCUUCACCGUCGCGCUUCGCCUGCUACAGUGUGUGUGCGGUGGGGGGACUAUUUUGUUCAAGAUCAAGGCAUUGUUCUGCUGAAAACUUGGAAUGCUUAUUUUCUUUUGAGAAGUUCCGAUUCUGUUGCUUUUAGGAGGUAACUUGUGGCAGAAAUGCAUUGCCAUUUUAUGCUGCUGUGAGAUUGAGAAUGAUUAGAAAAGAACUGCUCAGUGCUAAUGACGAGGUAAUGAUUCCAAGUUACAAUUUGUUAACAUUUUGGCCUAAGGGUAAAUUCUUAAUCCCUUAAGUUUAAUA